UAUGUACUCCCUCCGUCCCGAAUUACUUGUCACAGAAAUGGAUGUAUCUAUAUCUAGAGGUAUUCUAGAUACAUCCAUUUCUGUGACAAGUAAUUCGGGACGGAGGGAGUAUAAU
Triticum aestivum (bread wheat) is the source of this 115-nucleotide non-coding RNA. Lineage: Eukaryota; Viridiplantae; Streptophyta; Magnoliopsida; Poales; Poaceae. The record is from Rfam.